UUUUCUUUCUUUUAUUCACUAUAUGACCUGUCUCUCAUGUGCAUUUCCACAUCUCUCUCUCUCUUCCCCCCCCCCCCCCCCCCCCCCUCUCUUUAUAAUGAGUGCAAGAUUGGGAACUUGAGUGCUUGCAGCCUUGUGGGUUUUUCUUUUGAUUGCUGAAUUAUGAGAGAGAGAGAGAGAGAGAGAGAGAGGAGUUUUCUUGGAGAGAUGGAAAAGAGGGUGUCUGGAAUGAAGUUUGAUCCAAGAUCCUUCCAAUUUUUUCACGUCUCCUUGUUCUCUUGUCCUCCUUUUUUGAAUUGAAUUGCUGUUUAUUUCAUGAUGAUGAUGAUGGUGAUGAUGAACUCGAGGACAGAUCUCGGACCAGGCUUCAUUCCUCACACCAUCUUUUCCCGGAAAUAAAAAAGUCCCAGAUAUAUGUUUAAGAAAGCUCUGUAUCAUCUUCUAGCUCGUGACUGUGCAAGCAGUCCCAUCACCAAUCACAUUGCGCCACGGAAGUAUCUGUGAUCAGUCAUAUCUCUUCCCAAAAAGCAAUGGUCGCAACAUGCACAUGCAAUUUCAGGGAAAUAGUAAACUGCAUGUACCGUUCAUUUCAUCGUUUUAUGUGAACACAGUGAGUAACUGUUGAGAAGGAGACACUUUCGAAAAAUUGUUAGCUUCCAGUUUGUUUUAAUUAUCUAAUUCACUGUUUUUUGGCUACGUACAUAUCUUGAUCUUCUUUGUAUUCAUGUAUGCAAUAAUGUACCAAAGCAAAGCAUGUUAGAUGUGCAGAAAGCCAGUAAUUAAGGUUUCCCUAUUUUGUGCUUCUGAAGUAGCUGUCUCUUGGAGUUUAUCUUUGCUGUCUUUAUCAUUUUUGUCAUCAACCCAAAGAUAGGGGAUAGCAAUGCAUCUCUCUUUAUAUAUAUAUAUAUAUAUAGAGAGAGAGAGAGAGAGAGAGAGAGAGUAGAGAAGAAUACUAUAUGUCAAUCAUUUGUCAUUGUUCUAUGUAUGAUGUGUAUGAUGUUGAUGAAUCAGUAGCUUGGGAACAUUUCAUCAUUAUAUCUCUGUAAUUUGAUUUUCUUUUGUGAAUGGUUUCCCUUA
Molecule: long non-coding RNA, 1077 nt
Organism: Diospyros lotus (date-plum)
Lineage: Eukaryota; Viridiplantae; Streptophyta; Magnoliopsida; Ericales; Ebenaceae
Exons: 2
Source: RefSeq, a predicted model, not a curated record